This 74-nucleotide transfer RNA is filed under the name Acetobacteraceae bacterium. RNAcentral's name for it is "tRNA-Cys". It matches the Rfam family "tRNA". From Rfam's summary of the family: Transfer RNA (tRNA) molecules are approximately 80 nucleotides in length. Their secondary structure includes four short double-helical elements and three loops (D, anti-codon, and T loops). The record is from RNAcentral. Lineage: Bacteria; Pseudomonadati; Pseudomonadota; Alphaproteobacteria; Acetobacterales; Acetobacteraceae.
GGUCCGGUGGCCGAGUGGUCAGGCACGGGACUGCAAAUCCCCCAACGGCGGUUCGAUUCCGCCCCGGACCUCCA